GAUGAACGCUGGCGGCGUGCCUAAUACAUGCAAGUCGAGCGAACAGACGAGGAGCUUGCUCCUCUGACGUUAGCGGCGGACGGGUGAGUAACACGUGGAUAACCUACCUAUAAGACUGGGAUAACUUCGGGAAACCGGAGCUAAUACCGGAUAAUAUAUUGAACCGCAUGGUUCAAUAGUGAAAGACGGUUUUGCUGUCACUUAUAGAUGGAUCCGCGCCGCAUUAGCUAGUUGGUAAGGUAACGGCUUACCAAGGCAACGAUGCGUAGCCGACCUGAGAGGGUGAUCGGCCACACGGGAACUGAGACACGGUCCAGACUCCUACGGGAGGCAGCAGUAGGGAAUCUUCCGCAAGGGGCGAAAGCCUGACGGAGCAACGCCGCGUGAGGGAUGAAGGUCUUCGGAUCGUAAAACUCUGUUAUUAGGGAAGAACAAAUGUGUAAGUAACUAUGCACGUCUUGACGGUACCUAAUCAGAAAGCCACGGCUAACUACGUG
RNAcentral lists this ribosomal RNA (497 nucleotides) under uncultured bacterium. RNAcentral describes it as "partial 16S ribosomal RNA". It matches the Rfam family "Bacterial small subunit ribosomal RNA", at positions 28 to 507 of the family's 1533-position model. The record is from RNAcentral.